GCGGGAAUAGCUCAGUGGUAGAGCAUCGCCUUGCCAAGGCGAAUGUCGCGGGUUCAAAUCCCGUUUCCCGCUCCA
This 75-nucleotide transfer RNA is filed under the name Pseudomonadota bacterium. RNAcentral's name for it is "Proteobacteria bacterium (cold seep metagenome) tRNA-Gly". It matches the Rfam family "tRNA". From Rfam's summary of the family: Transfer RNA (tRNA) molecules are approximately 80 nucleotides in length. Lineage: Bacteria; Pseudomonadati; Pseudomonadota. The record is from RNAcentral.